GAUGAAGAACGUAGCGAAAUGCGAUAAGUAAUGUGAAUUGCAGAAUUCAGUGAAUCAUCGAAUCUUUGAACGCACCUUGCGCUCCUUGGUAUUCCGAGGAGCAUGCCUGUUUGAGUGUCAUUAAAUUAUCAACCUUAUUAGCUUUUGCUGAUAAUGGCUUGGAUGUGGGGUUUCUUUUGCUGGCUUUCCUAUAGUCAGCUCCCCUAAAAUGCAUUAGCCGGUGCUUUGUUAGAACUGUCUAUUAGUGUGAUAAUUAUCUACGCUGUGGACAGGUCUACUUAUUUUAUGAGCACUGCUUCUAACUGUCUAUUAAAUUGGACAAUACAUUGACAAUUUGACCUCAAAUCAGGUAGGACUACCCGCUGAACUUAAGCAUAUCAAUAAGCGGAGGA
Molecule: unclassified non-coding RNA, 392 nt
Filed under: soil metagenome
Description: partial contains 5.8S ribosomal RNA, internal transcribed spacer 2, and large subunit ribosomal RNA
Rfam family: 5.8S ribosomal RNA (bases 1-120)
Source: RNAcentral